UACAGAGGUCUCAAGCGUUGUUCGGAUUCAUUGGGCGUAAAGGGUGCGUAGGCGGCGCGGUAAGUCGGGUGUGAAAUCUCGGAGCUUAACUCCGAAACUGCAUUCGAUACUGCCGUGCUUGAGGACUGGAGAGGAGACUGGAAUUUACGGUGUAGCGGUGAAAUGCGCAGAUAUCAGGAGGAACACCAAUGGCGAAGGCAGCUCGCUGGGACGUGACUGACGCUGAGACGCGAAAGCGUGGGGAGCAAACAGG
This 253-nucleotide ribosomal RNA is filed under the name uncultured bacterium. RNAcentral describes it as "partial 16S ribosomal RNA". It matches the Rfam family "Bacterial small subunit ribosomal RNA", at positions 524 to 776 of the family's 1533-position model. The record is from RNAcentral.